This 26-nucleotide transfer RNA is filed under the name Panthera pardus (leopard). RNAcentral's name for it is "partial tRNA-Asp". Lineage: Eukaryota; Metazoa; Chordata; Mammalia; Carnivora; Felidae. The record is from RNAcentral.
GAAGUAUUAGUAAAACAAUUACAUAA